RNAcentral lists this ribosomal RNA (466 nucleotides) under uncultured bacterium. RNAcentral describes it as "partial 16S ribosomal RNA". It matches the Rfam family "Bacterial small subunit ribosomal RNA", at positions 28 to 507 of the family's 1533-position model. The record is from RNAcentral.
GAUGAACGCUGGCGGCGUGCUUAACACAUGCAAGUCGAACGAUGAAGCUCAGCUUGCUGGGUGGAUUAGUGGCGAACGGGUGAGUAACACGUGAGUAACCUGCCCUUAACUCUGGGAUAAGCCUGGGAAACUAGGUCUAAUACCGGAUAGGAGCGCCUACCGCAUGGUGGGUGUUGGAAAGAUUUAUCGGUUUUGGAUGGACUCGCGGCCUAUCAGCUUGUUGGUGAGGUAAUGGCUCACCAAGGCGACGACGGGUAGCCGGCCUGAGAGGGUGACCGGCCACACUGGGACUGAGACACGGCCCAGACUCCUACGGGAGGCAGCAGUGGGGAAUAUUGCACAAUUGGCGAAAGCCUGAUGCAGCGACGCCGCGUGAGGGAUGACGGCCUUCGGGUUGUAAACCUCUUUCAGUAGGGAAGAAGCGAAAGUGACGGUACCUGCAGAAGAAGCACCGGCUAACUACGUG